Molecule: ribosomal RNA, 468 nt
Filed under: uncultured bacterium
Lineage: Bacteria
Description: partial 16S ribosomal RNA
Rfam family: Bacterial small subunit ribosomal RNA
Source: RNAcentral
GACGAACGCUGGCGGCGUGCUUAACACAUGCAAGUCGAACGGAAAGGCCCUGCUUUUGUGGGGUGCUCGAGUGGCGAACGGGUGAGUAACACGUGAGUAACCUGCCCUUGACUUUGGGAUAACUUCAGGAAACUGGGGCUAAUACCGGAUAGGAGCUCCUGCUGCAUGGUGGGGGUUGGAAAGUUUCGGCGGUUGGGGAUGGACUCGCGGCUUAUCAGCUUGUUGGUGGGGUAGUGGCGUACCAAGGCUUUGACGGGUAGCCGGCCUGAGAGGGUGACCGGCCACAUUGGGACUGAGAUACGGCCCAGAAUCCUACGGGAGGCAGCGGUGGGGAGUAUGGCACAGUGGGCGGAAGCCUGAUGCGGCAGCGCCGCGUGCGGGAUGACGGCCUUCGGGUUGUAAACCGCUUUGGCAUGUGACGAAGCGUGAGUGACGGUAAUGGGUAAAGAAGCACCGGCUAACUACGUG